GGGAUAACACUUAGAAAUAGGUGCUAAUACCGCAUAAGCGCACGGUUCCGCAUGGAACAGUGUGAAAAACUCCGGUGGUAUACGAUGGAUCCGCGUCUGAUUAGCCAGUUGGCGGGGUAACGGCCCACCAAAGCGACGAUCAGUAGCCGGCCUGAGAGGGUGAACGGCCACAUUGGGACUGAGACACGGCCCAAACUCCUACGGGAGGCAGCAGUGGGGAAUAUUGCACAAUGGGGGAAACCCUGAUGCAGCGACGCCGCGUGAGUGAAGAAGUAUUUCGGUACGUAAAGCUCUAUCAGCAGGGAAGAAAAAAAGUCCUUUGGACUUUGGACGGUACCUGACCAAGAAGCCCCGGCUAACUACGUGCCAGCAGCCGCGGUAAUACGUAGGGGGCAAGCGUUAUCCGGAUUUACUGGGUGUAAAGGGAGCGUAGACGGCAGCGCAAGUCUGGAGUGAAAUGCCGGGGCCCAACCCCGGAACUGCUUUGGAAACUGUGCAGCUCGAGUGCAGGAGAGGUAAGCGGAAUUCCUAAUGUAGCGGUGAAAUGCGUAGAUAUUAGGAGGAACACCAGUGGCGAAGGCGGCUUACUGGACUGUAACUGACGUUGAGGCUCGAAAGCGUGGGGAGCAAACAGGAUUAGAUACCCUGGUAGUCCACGCCGUAAACGAUGAUUAAUAGGUGUCGGGGGGCCAAGGCCCUUCGGUGCCGCCG
RNAcentral lists this ribosomal RNA (711 nucleotides) under uncultured bacterium. RNAcentral describes it as "bacterial SSU rRNA". It matches the Rfam family "Bacterial small subunit ribosomal RNA", at positions 140 to 851 of the family's 1533-position model. The record is from RNAcentral.